RNAcentral lists this ribosomal RNA (583 nucleotides) under Aspergillus fumigatus. RNAcentral describes it as "partial large subunit ribosomal RNA". It matches the Rfam family "Eukaryotic large subunit ribosomal RNA", at positions 65 to 664 of the family's 3401-position model. The record is from RNAcentral. Lineage: Eukaryota; Fungi; Ascomycota; Eurotiomycetes; Eurotiales; Aspergillaceae.
CGCACGGGGCAUGCCUCAGUACGGCGAGUGAAGCGGCAAGAGCUCAAAUUUGAAAGCUGGCCCCUUCGGGGUCCGCGUUGUAAUUUGCAGAGGAUGCUUCGGGUGCAGCCCCCGUCUAAGUGCCCUGGAACGGGCCGUCAUAGAGGGUGAGAAUCCCGUCUGGGACGGGGUGUCUGCGUCCGUGUGAAGCUCCUUCGACGAGUCGAGUUGUUUGGGAAUGCAGCUCUAAAUGGGUGGUAAAUUUCAUCUAAAGCUAAAUACUGGCCGGAGACCGAUAGCGCACAAGUAGAGUGAUCGAAAGAUGAAAAGCACUUUGAAAAGAGAGUUAAACAGCACGUGAAAUUGUUGAAAGGGAAGCGUUUGCGACCAGACUCGCCCGCGGGGUUCAGCCGGCAUUCGUGCCGGUGUACUUCCCCGUGGGCGGGCCAGCGUCGGUUUGGGCGGCCGGUCAAAGGCCCUCGGAAUGUAUCACCUCUCGGGGUGUCUUAUAGCCGAGGGUGCAAUGCGGCCUGCCUGGACCGAGGAACGCGCUUCGGCUCGGACGCUGGCGUAAUGGUCGUAAAUGACCCGUCUUGAAAACCGG